AGCAGCCGCGGUAAUUCCAGCUCCAAUAGCGUAUAUUAAAGUUGUUGCAGUUAAAAAGCUCGUAGUUGAAUUUCGAGAUCAAAUUGUUGGUCGUGCCUUGGUACGCACUGGCAUUAUUGGUUUCUCCCUUCUGACGAACCAUGAUGUCAUUAAUUUGGUGUCUUGGGGAAUCAGGACUGUUACUUUGAAAAAAUUUAGAGUGUUUAAAGCAGGCUCACGCUUGAAUACAUUAGCAUGGAAUAAUGAAAUAGGACGUUUGAUUCUAUUUUGUUGGUUUCUAGGAUCGACGUAAUGAUUAAUAGGGAUAGUUGGGGGCAUUAGUAUUCAAUUGUCAGAGGUGAAAUUCUUGGAUUUAUUGAAGACUAACUACUGCGAAAGCAUUUGCCAAGGAUGUUUUCAUUAAUCAAGAACGAAAGUUAGGGGAUCGAAGACGAUCAGAUACCGUCGUAGUCUUAACCAUAAACUAUGCCGACUAGGGAUCGGAUGAUGUUAAUUUUUUAAUGACUCAUUCGGCGCCUUA
RNAcentral lists this unclassified non-coding RNA (520 nucleotides) under uncultured Glomus. RNAcentral's name for it is "SSU rRNA". It matches the Rfam family "Eukaryotic small subunit ribosomal RNA", at positions 569 to 1090 of the family's 1831-position model. The record is from RNAcentral. Lineage: Eukaryota; Fungi; Glomeromycota; Glomeromycetes; Glomerales; Glomeraceae.